RNAcentral lists this ribosomal RNA (292 nucleotides) under uncultured prokaryote. RNAcentral's name for it is "partial 16S ribosomal RNA". It matches the Rfam family "Archaeal small subunit ribosomal RNA", at positions 455 to 747 of the family's 1478-position model. The record is from RNAcentral.
GUGUCAGCAGCCGCGGUAAUACCGGCAGCCCAAGUGAUGGCCGAUCUUAUUGGGCCUAAGCGUCCGUAGCUGGCCACGCAAGUCCAUCGGGAAAUCCACCUGCCCAACAGGUGGGCGCCCGGUAGAAACUGCGUGGCUUGGGACCGGAAGGCGCGACGGGUACGUCCGGGGUAGGAGUGAAAUCCCGUAAUCCUGGACGGACCGCCGGUGGCGAAAGCGCCUCAGGAGAACGGAUCCGACAGUGAGGGACGAAAGCCAGGGUCUCGAACCGGAUUAGAUACCCCCGUAGUCC